This 391-nucleotide ribosomal RNA is filed under the name uncultured Synurales. RNAcentral's name for it is "partial small subunit ribosomal RNA". It matches the Rfam family "Eukaryotic small subunit ribosomal RNA", at positions 30 to 432 of the family's 1831-position model. Lineage: Eukaryota; Synurophyceae; Synurales. The record is from RNAcentral.
GCUUGUCUCAAAGAUUAAGCCAUGCACGUCUAAGUAUAAGCGAUUAUACUGUGAAACUGCGAAUGGCUCAUUAUAUCAGUUAUAGUUUAUUUGAUGGUCCUUGCUACUUGGAUAACCGUAGUAAUUCUAGAGCUAAUACAUGCAUCAAACCCCGACUCACGAAGGGGUGUAUUUAUUAGAUGGAAACCAAUGCGGGGCAACCCGGUUCAUGGUGAUUCAUAAUAACUUUCGGAUCGACCUUUCGGUCGAUGCAUCAUUCAAGUUUCUGCCCUAUCAGUUGUGGAUGGUAGGGUAUUGGCCUACCAUGACUUUAACGGGUAACGGAGAAUUAGGGUUCGAUUCCGGAGAGGGAGCCUGAGAAAUGGCUACCACAUCCAAGGAAGGCAGCAGG